UGGGGCUGGGCCUGUAGUUGGGUGAUGAGUGCAGGUUUACCGUGCAGGAGGCCCUUGUUGUAACCCCAUGGAGCAAAUAAAAGGCAACAGUGUGAGGCAUCUGAUGCUGCAUGUGUAAUUCAGGUAGCGUUUCCACUUGUGUGUGUAGAAACUAUUAUUCUCUCAAAUGGUAUAUAUUUCGGGUUAAGUGUAAGACUUAAAAUAUGUAUUUUAAGCCAUUUUUGUUAGUGAAUUUUUAAAUACCCAUGCAACAACAACAAGAACAAGUUGAGAAAAAAAAAGGCCAUUUUGUCAGUAGAUACUUUAUUUUGAAUGUGGCCCUGUCUGGCCCUGUGAGCCACAAUUUAGACUGCUUAUGGGUUUCAGUAAAGUACUGGGGAAGGGUUUAAGUGAGUGAGAAUGUUAACAAAAGCUUGACUCUAGUGACAACUGAAUUUAAUAUAAGGAAAAGUCACUUAGUGCUAGCAAUCGUGUGUUUUCUCUUUUCACUUUGACCUAUAUUUCUUACUUCUGGCUAUUUCUUUUUAUUAAGACUUUUUAGCUGCUAGGCCAUAUAAUUAGCUAAGAUAUGUUUUCUAAUUUAAUUUAGUUAGAUUCUAAUUAAAUUUGAUUAGAAAAGUUUUCUAAUUUUAUUUCUAACUGAAAAUGCCAACAUGCUUUUAUUCUCUACUGAAGUUAAGACCAAGAAAAGGGAAUUUUAAAAAACCUAAUAGAAUAAACAAGAUUGGCAAACUUUAUCUUUAAAAUGGUCUUUAUUUUGCCAAACUUUUAGGAAACUGGAAAAGUUACUGUAAGGACAAGAUAUGCUAGCACACAGCAGUUCAUACCCGCUGCUUAGGGGGCUGAGGUGCUUGCCCACUUGAGCCUGGCGGUUAAAGGUCAAUCUGAAAUAUGGUGAGACACUGUCUCAGACAAAAACAAAGUAUUUUAAAACGCUUGUGGUGGCUUUCUUUGGUUCUUGAUAGCUAUGUUAGAUAACUUUUGAUAAACUAAAAUUAUAAAUUGUUCCCUGGGCUAAUUCUGGUCAAUAUAUUUUUUUUUAUUUCAGUAUGAAAAAUAGAGACUGCUGUGUGUCAGCUUUCUAGAGGUAGAACACUUAGCUCUUUGGUGGUUUCUGGUCUACCCUUGUAAAGCCUUUUCCUUCUGCUUGUUGUGCUAAUGCCCUUGCAACGUGCACAUUGAAAUCUUUGGAACUUUGACGACACACUGCAGAACUAGACCAGAUCUUGAUACUUGUGUCCUCUGGUUCUUUUAUAAAUAGCUUAAAGUGAAGCUCUCCCGUUAAGAUGUGUGAUUAGAACAAGCUGUGAGACAGAACUUUGCAGUCAGAAGCCUGUCACUUGACACCACAGCUUCGUGAGGCUAUCUCGUGACUUCACUAAUUAGAUAGAGCUGCUGUAUCGGUUUUCUCAUUGGAUAGAAUAACAGUUAAUCAUUUUUAGAAGCGUUUUAGAUUACUUGACAUAAAAUUUGUAUGUGCCUGAGCUCCUGGUAGGUUAGGAGCAAAGGAACUGUUAACCAGUCUCAUCCCUUUGGUGUCACUGACUUCAGACAGCUGAGAACUGGACUGGGUCAGCCCCGCUUAAACCUGAAACAGUUAGCUUUUCUUUGCAUGCCGCUUGUGCUUAAUGGAGUCAAUUAAAUGCAGAAGGUUUUAUUUGAAAGC
This 1666-nucleotide long non-coding RNA is filed under the name Mus musculus (house mouse). RNAcentral describes it as "long non-coding RNA chr9:80144854-80146520". Lineage: Eukaryota; Metazoa; Chordata; Mammalia; Rodentia; Muridae. The record is from RNAcentral.